AAACUGUGAUGUGGGCACUUUCUCAACAAAUCCUUGAAUCUUUCCCAAGCUUCAUACUGUGAACCCCUUCCCCAAAUAU
Molecule: small nucleolar RNA, 79 nt
Filed under: Jatropha curcas
Lineage: Eukaryota; Viridiplantae; Streptophyta; Magnoliopsida; Malpighiales; Euphorbiaceae
Description: Plant small nucleolar RNA R71
Rfam family: Plant small nucleolar RNA R71
About the family: R71 is a member of the C/D box family of snoRNAs containing the C (UGAUGA) and D (CUGA) box motifs.
Source: Rfam by way of RNAcentral